Molecule: ribosomal RNA, 720 nt
Filed under: uncultured bacterium
Lineage: Bacteria
Description: bacterial SSU rRNA
Rfam family: Bacterial small subunit ribosomal RNA
Source: RNAcentral
AGAGUUUGAUCAUGGCUCAAGGAUGAACGCUAGCGGCAGGCCUAACACAUGCAAGUCGAGGGGCAGCACGGGUAGCAAUACUUGGUGGCGACCGGCGCACGGGUGAGUAACGCGUAUGCAACCUACCCAUAACUGGGGGAUAGCCCGGAGAAAUUCGGAUUAACACCGCAUAAUAUUAUUGAACUGCAUGGUUUAAUAUUAAAAUAUUUAUAGGUUAUGGAUGGGCAUGCGUGACAUUAGCUAGUUGGUGAGGUAACGGCUCACCAAGGCGACGAUGUCUAGGGGGCCUGAGAGGGUAGUCCCCCACACUGGUACUGAGACACGGACCAGACUCCUACGGGAGGCAGCAGUGAGGAAUAUUGCGCAAUGGACGAAAGUCUGACGCAGCCAUGCCGCGUGCAGGAUGACGGCCCUAUGGGUUGUAAACUGCUUUUGUUUAGGAAGAAACUCAGCUACGUGUAGCUGACUGACGGUACUAUAUGAAUAAGCAUCGGCUAACUCCGUGCCAGCAGCCGCGGUAAUACGGAGGAUGCAAGCGUUAUCCGGAUUUAUUGGGUUUAAAGGGUGCGUAGGCGGGGCUUUAAGUCAGUGGUGAAAUCUUGCAGCUUAACUGUAAAAUUGCCAUUGAUACUGAAGUUCUUGAGUGCGGUUGAAGUAGGCGGAAUGUGUAAUGUAGCGGUGAAAUGCUUAGAGAUUACACAGAACACCGAUUGCGUAGGC